Molecule: ribosomal RNA, 394 nt
Filed under: uncultured bacterium
Lineage: Bacteria
Description: bacterial SSU rRNA
Rfam family: Bacterial small subunit ribosomal RNA
Source: RNAcentral
AUUGAACGCUGGCGGCAUGCUUUACACAUGCAAGUCGAACGGGCCUGGGGGCAACUCCAGGUCAGUGGCGAACGGGUGAGUAAUGCAUCGGAACGUGUCCCGUAGUGGGGGAUAACCCGGCGAAAGCCGGACUAAUACCGCAUAUGCUCUACGGAGGAAAGUGGGGGACCUGCAAGGGCCUCACGCUAUGGGAGCGGCCGAUGUCCGAUUAGCUUGUUGGUGGGGUAAUGGCCUACCAAGGCGACGAUCGGUAGCUGGUCUGAGAGGAUGAUCAGCCACACUGGGACUGAGACACGGCCCAGACUCCUACGGGAGGCAGCAGUGGGGAAUUUUGGACAAUGGGGGCAACCCUGAUCCAGCCAUGCCGCGUGCGGGAAGAAGGCCUGGUGUAACG